GACGAACGCUGGCGGCGUGCUUAACACAUGCAAGUCGAACGGAAAGGCCCUGCUUUUGUGGGGUGCUCGAGUGGCGAACGGGUGAGUAACACGUGAGUAACCUGCCCUUGACUUUGGGAUAACUUCGGGAAACUGGGGCUAAUACCGGAUAGGAGCUCCUGCUGCAUGGUGGGGGUUGGAAAGUUUCGGCGGUUGGGGAUGGACUCGCGGCUUAUCAGCUUGUUGGUGGGGUAGUGGCUUACCAAGGCUUUGACGGGUAGCCGGCCUGAGAGGGUGACCGGCCACAUUGGGACUGAGAUACGGCCCAGACUCCUACGGGAGGCAGCAGUGGGGAAUAUUGCACAAUGGGCGGAAGCCUGAUGCAGCAACGCCGCGUGCGGGAUGACGGCCUUCGGGUUGUAAACCGCUUUCGCCUGUGACGAAGCGUGAGUGACGGUAAUGGGUAAAGAAGCACCGGCUAACUACGUGCCAGCAGCCGCGGUGAUACGUAGGGUGCGAGCGUUGUCCGGAUUUAUUGGGCGUAAAGGGCUCGUAGGUGGUUGAUCGCGUCGGAAGUGUAAUCUUGGGGCUUAACCCUGAGCGUGCUUUCGAUACGGGUUGACUUGAGGAAGGUAGGGGAGAAUGGAAUUCCUGGUGGAGCGGUGGAAUGCGCAGAUAUCAGGAGGAACACCAGUGGCGAAGGCGGUUCUCUGGGCCUUUCCUGACGCUGAGGAGCGAAAGCGUGGGGAGCGAACAGGCUUAGAUACCCUGGUAGUCCACGCUGUAAACGGUGGGUACUAGGUGUGGGGUCCAUUCCACGGGUUCCGUGCCGUAGCUAACGCUUUAAGUACCCCGCCUGGGGAGUACGGCCGCAAGGCUAAAACUCAAAGGAAUUGACGGGGCCCCGCACAAGCGGCGGAGCAUGCGGAUUAAUUCGAUGCAACGCGUAGAACCUUACCUGGGUUUGACAUGGAUCGGGAGUGCUCAGAGAUGGGUGUGCCUCUUUUGGGGUCGGUUCACAGGUGGUGCAUGGCUGUCGUCAGCUCGUGUCGUGAGAUGUUGGGUUAAGUCCCGCAACGAGCGCAACCCUUGUUCACUGUUGCCAGCACGUUAUGGUGGGGACUCAGUGGAGACCGCCGGGGUCAACUCGGAGGAAGGUGGGGAUGACGUCAAGUCAUCAUGCCCCUUACGUCCAGGGCUUCACGCAUGCUACAAUGGCUGGUACAGAGAGUGGCGAGCCUGUGAGGGUGAGCGAAUCUCGGAAAGCCGGUCUCAGUUCGGAUUGGGGUCUGCAACUCGACCUCAUGAAGUCGGAGUCGCUAGUAAUCGCAGAUCAGCAACGCUGCGGUGAAUACGUUCCCGGG
RNAcentral lists this ribosomal RNA (1343 nucleotides) under uncultured bacterium. RNAcentral's name for it is "16S ribosomal RNA". It matches the Rfam family "Bacterial small subunit ribosomal RNA", at positions 28 to 1378 of the family's 1533-position model. The record is from RNAcentral.